GCAGGCCCAGUUAAAUAAAUUUCAGAGCAAUUACAAUCAUUUGGUAGUACAAGUACAUCCCGGCAAUAUUUGGGAUAUAUUUAUGCUAAAAAAGUUUAUUUGUUGUUGAUCUGAAAUUCAAAUUUAACCA
Molecule: microRNA precursor, 130 nt
Filed under: Chlorocebus sabaeus (green monkey)
Lineage: Eukaryota; Metazoa; Chordata; Mammalia; Primates; Cercopithecidae
Description: miRNA (ENSCSAG00000026949.1)
Source: RNAcentral